GGGCCCGCACAAGCGGUGGAGUAUGUGGUUUAAUUCGAAGCAACGCGCAGAACCUUACCAACCCUUGACAUCCUGUGCUACAUUCAGAGAUGAAUGGUUCCCUUCGGGGACGCAGUGACAGGUGCUGCAUGGCUGUCGUCAGCUCGUGUCGUGAGAUGUUCGGUUAAGUCCGGCAACGAGCGCAACCCACAUCCCUAGUUGCCAGCAGUUCGGCUGGGCACUCUAUGGAAACUGCCCGUGAUAAGCGGGAGGAAGGUGUGGAUGACGUCAAGUCCUCAUGGCCCUUACGGGUUGGGCUACACACGUGCUACAAUGGUAGUGACAAUGGGUUAAUCCCAAAAAGCUAUCUCAGUUCGGAUUGCACUCUGCAACUCGAGUGCAUGAAGCUGGAAUUACUAGUAAUCG
This 405-nucleotide ribosomal RNA is filed under the name uncultured bacterium. Its description in RNAcentral is "bacterial SSU rRNA". It matches the Rfam family "Bacterial small subunit ribosomal RNA", at positions 917 to 1344 of the family's 1533-position model. The record is from RNAcentral.